Long non-coding RNA from Salvia splendens (bonfire salvia), 412 nucleotides. RefSeq lists it as uncharacterized. The record is from RefSeq and is a predicted model, not a curated record. NCBI's taxonomy places the organism in Eukaryota, Viridiplantae, Streptophyta, Magnoliopsida, Lamiales, Lamiaceae. The transcript is spliced from 2 exons.
CUUUCAUUUCAAGAUCAAAGCCUCUUCUUCCUCUCCCCUUCCAAAAGAAAAUGGAAAAGCUGAAUUCCAAACUGUUGAUGGAGAACUUGUACAUCAUGCAGGAAAACGAGAGGCUGAGGAAGAGGGCUGAGCUUCUCAACCAGGAGAAUCAGACUCUUCUCACUGAGCUCCAGCACCGCCUCGCCUCUGCCGCCACCACCACCUCCUCAAAGGCCAACAACAAAUUCAACAAAUGAGAUUUAUAGUUUUAAGGAGAAUUGGUAGUAGAAAUUAUCGAAAGUAGAUAAAUCGCUUCACUUCUGACUUCUUUUUUGUCCUUCUUGUUUAUCAUUCGGAUUAUAAUCUGGAAAUUAAUAUUAGUUUUAUCAUUAUUUACUACUGUCUUUCAAAGGAGGAAUAUAUUUCUUAAUUA